AUUAGAGUUUGAUCCUGGCUCAGGACGAACGCUGGCGGCGUGCUUAACACAUGCAAGUCGAACGGAACACCCUUGACAGAGGUUUCGGCCAAUGAAGAGGAAUGUUUAGUGGCGGACUGGUGAGUAACGCGUGAGGAACCUGCCUUUCAGAGGGGGACAACAGUUGGAAACGACUGCUAAUACCGCAUGAAGCAGCGAGGGGACAUCCCCUUGCUGUCAAAGAUUUAUCGCUGAAAGAUGGCCUCGCGUCUGAUUAGCUAGUUGGUGGGGUAACGGCCCACCAAGGCGACGAUCAGUAGCCGACCUGAGAGGGUGAUCGGCCACAUUGGAACUGAGAGACGGUCCAAACUCCUACGGGAGGCAGCAGUGGGGAAUAUUGGGCAAUGGGCGAAAGCCUGACCCAGCAACGCCGCGUGAAGGAAGAAGGUCUUCGGAUCGUAAACUUCUAUCCCCGGUGAAGAUAAUGACGGUAACCGGGAAGGAAGCCCCGGCUAACUACGUGCCAGCAGCCGCGGUAAUAAU
RNAcentral lists this ribosomal RNA (522 nucleotides) under uncultured bacterium. Its description in RNAcentral is "bacterial SSU rRNA". It matches the Rfam family "Bacterial small subunit ribosomal RNA", at positions 1 to 526 of the family's 1533-position model. The record is from RNAcentral.